This 1104-nucleotide long non-coding RNA is filed under the name Heterocephalus glaber (naked mole-rat). Its description in RNAcentral is "lncRNA (ENSHGLG00100050388.1)". The record is from RNAcentral. Lineage: Eukaryota; Metazoa; Chordata; Mammalia; Rodentia; Bathyergidae.
UGACCUUUCUCUGUCACUUCUCCGAGUUUUGAAAAACUCACAAUACUUUAAGGAACAAUACCUAGCCUUUCUGAUGACACAAUGAAUUCCUGUGCAUUCCAAUCUUAGAAUCUGUAGGGCAUGGAGACUGCUCUGUGGCACAACUAGAGAAGGAGAGAUGUGGGGGACAGUUGGAAGAGUGGUAAAGCAGUAGAGGCAGAAUGCUCAUUUUGGUAAUCAAGGAGCACCAACAGCUGGUUCCUGUUGAAUGCCAUCAGGAUGAUUCAGCCACCCACCAGGAACACCAGUAACAGCAAGUGCACGCACAGAAAUCUGCAAAACUUUCUUCUUUUGAUGCCAACACUAUUACUCUGGCAAAGUCAAAACCCUUUAUGGAUUUACCAGUUCAACUAAAUGUGACCUUGUUCCCCUCACAAAUACCAGCUCACUCUCAAAUAAACACAACUUCUGGCUGAUUAAAAUGCAACGUUCUUCCACAGUUGAGUGCACCCUGCAGUGAGUCCCUCCUCUGUGCUGUGUCUACAUUCUCUCCCUUUUUCAUUUUUUCACUGUUCAAUGAAACUUCAAAGGAUGAAUGAGAUCCAUAUACACUCAGAGUCCACCUUGUAUGUUGUCCUGCUUACUGCUGACCACAUGCAUUUAAAGUUAUGCCUCAAGUUGUUUUAUUGUUUCUAUUUUUAAGAAGUUUUCCAUUUCCACAGAAUGUGGUAAUAUGCCUUGAAAAACAGAAAUGUGUAGAUAAACUGUGCUGACCACAGACUUCAUUAAUACAUGAUUUCCAUGCCAUACUCUAGCCAGUUAAAAAUUCUAUACCUUCCUCCUUCAAAUCUAGACCAGAUUACAGACUUAAAGGAAGAAAAUGCCAAAGAUGACAGCUAGCUAUCAAAAAUGUUCUAGUGCCUCAUUUUCAGGUCUCCAAAGUAAAAUCUAAGGGCAUUCGACAAAGAUUCAGGUGCUCUCAAUAGCCAUGAAAAUAUAUGGCUGAAGAGGGAAUCUGUAAAUGUAAUGAAUACACAAUUGGCUUAUAACAGAUGCAACCAAAAUUAAAUUCAAGAUCUUGACCUACUCUUCAAAGUGAAAGUUUUUAGUUCAUGCUACAGAGAG